UACGAAGGGGGGCUAGCGUUGCUCGGAAUCACUGGGCGUAAAGGGUGCGUAGGCGGGUCUUUAAGUCAGGGGUGAAAUCCUGGAGCUCAACUCCAGAACUGCCUUUGAUACUGGCGAUCUCGAGUCCGGGAGAGGUGAGUGGAACUGCGAGUGUAGAGGUGAAAUUCGUAGAUAUUCGGAAGAACACCAGUGGCGAAGGCGGCUCACUGGCCCGGUACUGACGCUGAGGUGCGAAAGCGUGGGGAGCAAACAGG
Molecule: ribosomal RNA, 254 nt
Filed under: uncultured bacterium
Lineage: Bacteria
Description: partial 16S ribosomal RNA
Rfam family: Bacterial small subunit ribosomal RNA
Source: RNAcentral